AUACGGAGGGGGCUAGCGUUGUUCGGAAUUACUGGGCGUAAAGCGCGCGUAGGCGGGUUGGCAAGUUGAAGGUGAAAUCCCAGGGCUCAACCCUGGAACUGCCUCCAAAACUGCCAGUCUUGAGUUCGGAAGAGGUGAGUGGAAUUCCUAGUGUAGAGGUGAAAUUCGUAGAUAUUAGGAAGAACACCAGUGGCGAAGGCGACUCACUGGUCCGAUACUGACGCUGAGGUGCGAAAGCGUGGGGAGCAAACAGGAUUAGAAACCCGAGUAGUCC
RNAcentral lists this ribosomal RNA (274 nucleotides) under uncultured bacterium. RNAcentral's name for it is "partial 16S ribosomal RNA". It matches the Rfam family "Bacterial small subunit ribosomal RNA", at positions 523 to 796 of the family's 1533-position model. The record is from RNAcentral.